GGAAGGAUCAUUAUUGAAUGAACUUGGUGUGGUUGUUGCUGGCCCUCUCGGGGGCAUGUGCACACCCACCAUCCUCAUCUCUCCACCUGUGCACCUCUUGUAGACCUGGAUAGACUUUCCGAGGCAACUCGGUCGGGAAGAUUGCUGCGCUCUGUGAGCCAGCUUUCUUUGCAUGUCCAGGCCUAUGUUUUUCAUAUACCCCUAUAGAAUGUAACAGAAUGUAUCAUUGGGCCUUGUGCCUAUAAACCUUAUACAACUUUCAGCAACGGAUCUCUUGGCUCUCGCAUCGAUGAAGAACGCAGCGAAAUGCGAUAAGUAAUGUGAAUUGCAGAAUUCAGUGAAUCAUCGAAUCUUUGAACGCACCUUGCGCUCCUUGGUAUUCCGAGGAGCAUGCCUGUUUGAGUGUCAUUAAAUUCUCAACCUUAUUAGCUUUUGUUGAUAAUGGAUUGGAUGUGGGGGUUUAUUUUGCUGGCUUCUUCACAGAGAUCAGCUCCCCUUAAAUGCAUUAGCUGGUGCCCCGCGUGGACCAUCUAUUGGUGUGAUAAUUAUCUACGCCGUGGAUGUCUGCAAUCAUAUGGGUUUUGCACUGCUUCUAACCGUCUGUUCAUUCGGACAAUACAUGACAAUUUGACCUCAAAUCAGG
RNAcentral lists this ribosomal RNA (643 nucleotides) under uncultured fungus. RNAcentral's name for it is "eukaryotic LSU rRNA". The stretch from base 255 to 408 matches the Rfam family "5.8S ribosomal RNA". Lineage: Eukaryota; Fungi. The record is from RNAcentral.